This 370-nucleotide ribosomal RNA is filed under the name uncultured organism. RNAcentral's name for it is "bacterial SSU rRNA". It matches the Rfam family "Bacterial small subunit ribosomal RNA", at positions 526 to 896 of the family's 1533-position model. The record is from RNAcentral.
CAGAGGGUGCGAGCGUUAAUCGGAAUUACUGGGCGUAAAGCGUGCGUAGACGGCUAUUUAAGUCGGGUGUGAAAGCCCCGGGCUCAACCUGGGAAUUGCAUUCGAGACUGAAUAGCUAGGGUACGGUAGAGGGAAGUGGAAUUUCCGGUGUAGCGGUGAAAUGCGUAGAUAUCGGAAGGAACAUCAGUGGCGAAAGCGACUUCCUGGACCAGUACCGACGUUCAGGCACGAAAGCGUGGGGAGCAAACAGGAUUAGAUACCCUGGUAGUCCACGCCCUAAACGAUGUCAACUGGUUGUUGGGUCUUUACUGACUCAGUAACGAAGCUAACGCGUGAAGUUGACCGCCUGGGGAGUACGGCCGCAAGGUUG